UUUCUUGGACUGUGCAGGAUCUGUGUAGGAACCUAAAACAUUUGGUUUUCGAAGACUUGGAACUGUGUCCUUUUUAUUAUGAUUGCGGCCAAAAAAAUUCUCAUCUUCAACGCUGUCCAGCUCCUCAAAUGUUUUCUGACAUAAACAUGAGGUGUCAAGAACCAACCACUGUUAACUGUGGCUCUAGGGCUAUACCAGACGGAUAUAUGUGCGACUUUGAAACGACUGCUGAGCCCGAUUGCUUUCUGGAGAAUUCAAAAUCUGACAUAUUUGAUUGGACAAGGAAAACGAGAGAUUGUACUGCCUUUACUUGUUUUAUCAUAUGCAUGGAUCUCAUGUUGGAAAUCUUACAAUCAAAACUAAAGAAAUAUUUAAUAAUCCUGUUGUCUUAAAACAAUUAUCUGGUGAGCAAGGAAAUAAGUGGAAAAAGAUGAGCAGUCUUAAUGUCCGUUUGAAUGGAUAUACCAAGAUUUUGAUUGAAGCUACGAGGGGGAGUAGCUAUGAGGGAGAUAUUUCUAUUGACCUGGUUAUGCUUUUGCCUCGGAAGGUUAGUGGUCAAAGAGCAAACAAUUUCAGCAGUUUAAUUACCAGUAUUUUUCAAAACAAUGUUAAAUAGAUGAUUUUAAAUGAAAUUUAUA
Saccostrea cuccullata (small rock oyster) is the source of this 638-nucleotide long non-coding RNA. RefSeq lists it as uncharacterized. The transcript is spliced from 4 exons. NCBI's taxonomy places the organism in Eukaryota, Metazoa, Mollusca, Bivalvia, Ostreida, Ostreidae. The record is from RefSeq and is a predicted model, not a curated record.